GAUGAACGCUGGCGGCGUGCCUAAUACAUGCAAGUCGAGCGAACGGACGAGAAGCUUGCUUCUCUGAUGUUAGCGGCGGACGGGUGAGUAACACGUGGGUAACCUACCUAUAAGACUGGGAUAACUUCGGGAAACUGGAGCUAAUACCGGAUAAUAUUUUGAACCGCAUGGUUCAAAAGUGAAAGACGGUCUUGCUGUCACUUAUAGAUGGAUCCGCGCUGCAUUAGCUAGUUGGUAAGGUAACGGCUUACCAAGGCAACGAUGCAUAGCCGACCUGAGAGGGUGAUCGGCCACACUGGAACUGAGACACGGUCCAGACUCCUACGGGAGGCAGCAGUAGGGAAUCUUCCGCAAUGGGCGAAAGCCUGACGGAGCAACGCCGCGUGAGUGAUGAAGGUCUUCGGAUCGUAAAACUCUGUUAUUAGGGAAGAACAUAUGUGUAAGUAACUGUGCACAUCUUGACGGUACCUAAUCAGAAAGCCACGGCUAACUACGUG
RNAcentral lists this ribosomal RNA (497 nucleotides) under uncultured bacterium. RNAcentral's name for it is "partial 16S ribosomal RNA". It matches the Rfam family "Bacterial small subunit ribosomal RNA", at positions 28 to 507 of the family's 1533-position model. The record is from RNAcentral.